CAGAUUUUUGACCUUCUGAAUCAGUGGUUCCCAACCUAGGGUCCAGGACCCCCCAAGGGAGUCCCCAAAGAACACAGGGGGUCCCUGAGGCUUUGAACAUUAGA
This is a long non-coding RNA of Melanotaenia boesemani (Boeseman's rainbowfish), 104 nucleotides long. RefSeq lists it as uncharacterized. The record is from RefSeq and is a predicted model, not a curated record. The transcript has 4 exons. NCBI's taxonomy places the organism in Eukaryota, Metazoa, Chordata, Actinopteri, Atheriniformes, Melanotaeniidae.